Molecule: ribosomal RNA, 497 nt
Filed under: uncultured bacterium
Lineage: Bacteria
Description: partial 16S ribosomal RNA
Rfam family: Bacterial small subunit ribosomal RNA
Source: RNAcentral
GACGAACGCUGGCGGCGUGCCUAAUACAUGCAAGUAGAACGCUGAAGAGAGGAGCUUGCUCUUCUUGGAUGAGUUGCGAACGGGUGAGUAACGCGUAGGUAACCUGCCUUGUAGCGGGGGAUAACUAUUGGAAACGAUAGCUAAUACCGCAUAACAAUGGAUGACCCAUGUCCUUUAUUUGAAAGGGGCAAAUGCUCCACUACAAGAUGGACCUGCGUUGUAUUAGCUAGUAGGUGAGGUAACGGCUCACCUAGGCGACGAUACAUAGCCGACCUGAGAGGGUGAUCGGCCACACUGGGACUGAGACACGGCCCAGACUCCUACGGGAGGCAGCAGUAGGGAAUCUUCGGCAAUGGGGGCAACCCUGACCGAGCAACGCCGCGUGAGUGAAGAAGGGUUUCGGAUCGUAAAGCUCUGUUGUAAGUCAAGAACGAGUGUGAGAGUGGAAAGUUCACACUGUGACGGUAGCUUACCAGAAAGGGACGGCUAACUACGUG